Molecule: ribosomal RNA, 196 nt
Filed under: uncultured delta proteobacterium
Lineage: Bacteria; Deltaproteobacteria
Description: partial 16S ribosomal RNA
Rfam family: Bacterial small subunit ribosomal RNA
Source: RNAcentral
CCUACGGGAGGCAGCAGUAGGGAAUAUUGCGCAAUGGGGGAAACCCUGACGCAGCAACGCCGCGUGAGUGAGGAAGGUCUUCGGAUUGUAAAACUCUUUUAUUAGGGAAAAAUGUCCAUUUGGCUAAUAUCCAAGUGGAGUGAUGGUACCUAAGGAAUAAGCACCGGCUAACUUCGUGCCAGCAGCCGCGGUAAUA